Anolis carolinensis (green anole) is the source of this 1953-nucleotide long non-coding RNA. RefSeq lists it as uncharacterized. The transcript is spliced from 2 exons. The record is from RefSeq and is a predicted model, not a curated record. Lineage: Eukaryota; Metazoa; Chordata; Lepidosauria; Squamata; Anolidae.
GCAAGGGCGGGGGCCCGGCGGGAGGAGGAGGAGGGGGCGGCGGCGGCGGCUGCGGAUGGGCCAGCCCGUUGGCCACAGUAGCCAUGAUGGGCUCUGCCCCGCCCCGGGAGGAAGGCCAGGAGGAGGAGGAGGAGGAGGAGGAGGCAAGGGGGGUGACGUCACUGGGCUGUUCCCCUCCCCGCACACACCUCCCGCCCUCCCAAACCUCGCAAGAGGUAUUUGCAUAAAAAAAGAGCUCCAGCCAAUAGGGUGGGCGGGAAUCAAAGGGGGCGGGGCCAAGUGUAGGCAUAAAGGGAGGCAGAAGGGAUCCCUCUCCUCAGCCCAGGACACCAAUCAAAGCCCUCCCGACAGAGCGCCGUCCCGCCCCGGCUUCAAAAGCCACCGGAGGGAUCGAAAACAUCUAGUCCAACCAGUUUCCAAACAAUAUUUAUAUUUAUUUAUUUAUUUACUACAUUUAUAUCCCGCUCUUCUCAACCCGAAAGGGAAUCAGAGCAGCUUACAAAUCGAAUGAACAUACAAUAUAUUAUUAGCACAGCACUAUAUAAGCAUUACAUUACUAUAUUGUACUAUAUCAUUAUAUUUAUUUAUUUAUUACAUUUAUAUCCCGCUCUUCUCGCCCCGAAAGGGACUCAGAGCGGCUUACAAAUCAAAUGAACAUACAAUAUAUUAUUAGCACAGCACAAUAUAAGAAUUAAAUUACUAUAUUGUACUAUAUCAUUAUAUUUAUUUAUUUAUUUAUUUACUACAUUUAUAUCCCGCUCUUCUCACCCCGAAAGGGAAUCAGAGCAGCUUACAAAUCGAAUAAACAUACAAUAUAUUAUUAGCACAGCACAAUAUAAGCAUUAAAGUACUAUAUUGUACUAAAUCAUUAUAUUUAUUUAUUUACUUACUACAUUUAUAUCCCGCUCUUCUCACCCCGAAAGGGAAUCAGAGCAGCUUAUAAAUCAAAUGAACAUACAAUAUAUUAUUAGCAUAGCACAAUAUAAAGCAUUAAAUUAAUAUAGUGUACUAUAUCAUUAUAUGGUAAUAUUAUUAGUAAUAUUACAUUUAAUAUAUAAUAUAUAAUUAAUAUUAUUAUAUCGUAUUACAGUAGAGUCUCACUUAUCCAGCACUCGCUUAUCCAACGUUCUGGAUUAUCCAGCGCAUUUUUGGAGUCAAUGGUUUCAAUACAUUGUGAUAUUUUGGUGCUAAAUUUGUAAAUACAGUAAUUACUACAUAGCAUUACUGCAUAUUGAACUACUUUUUCUGUCAAAUUUGUUAUAUAACAUGAUGUUUUGGUGCUUAAUUUGUAAAAUCAUAACCUAAUUUGAUAUUUAAUAGGCUUUUCCUUAAUCCCUCCUUAUUAUCCAACAUAUUCGCUUAUCCAACGUUCUGCCAGCCCGUUUACGUUGGAUAAGUGUGACUCUACUGUAUUACAUUUAUUAUUUUUCUCUAUUAUUGUUGCUACUAUUACAUUUAUUUUACUCUAUUUUUAUUAUUAUUAAUACAUGUAUUAUUUUACUCUGAUCUUAUUAUUAUUAUUGCAUUUAUUAUAUUACUCUUUUUACUAUUACAUGUAUUAUUUUCCUGUAUUUAUUAUUAUUAUUACAUGUAUUAUUUUACUCUAUUAUUAUUAAAAGGAUACAUAAGCACAUUUACAUUGAAGAAGAUGGGAAUCAUGAUUUGAUCAGAGUUGGACAGUCUUAUCUUAAAUUUGAGCUUUAUCCCUCCAGUGACUGGAAUAGAUAAAAACCGCUGCUCUGCAUCCAAUUUCCUGCAGGAUAUAAGACGCGCUCCGCCUUGUAAAAUGAAGGGGAAUGUGGGAAAUGCAAUCGUGACAUCUCCUAUUAGUUGAAAAGAAAGGACCAAUGCACAGGAGACUUCCAGGCCUCCAAGUCCUCGCAGGAGGUCUCCAGGGCUGUGCAAUCUUCAUCUUCCUUGGCAAGUCUAAUAAAAGACAUCAUAAUUACUCUA